Molecule: ribosomal RNA, 497 nt
Filed under: uncultured bacterium
Lineage: Bacteria
Description: partial 16S ribosomal RNA
Rfam family: Bacterial small subunit ribosomal RNA
Source: RNAcentral
GACGAACGCUGGCGGCGUGCCUAAUACAUGCAAGUCGAGCGGAGAAGGGUGGUACUUGUACCAACUGGGUGAGCGGCGGACGGGUGAGUAACGCGAGGGGAAUCUGCCUUGGAGCGGGGGAUAACAUUAGGAAAGGAAUGAUAAUACCGGAUAAGAACUUUAAACACAAGGAUUAAGUGUGAAAGAGGCAAUUGCAUAACCCAAAGAUGAUCCCGCGUUGUAUUUGCUAGUUGGUGAGGUAAAGGCCCACCAAGGCGAAGAUACAGAGCCGACCUGGGAGGGUUGUCGGCCCACUUUGGACUGGGACCCGGCCCAAACUCCCUCCGGGAGCAGCCGUAGGGGAUCUUCGGCCAUUGGCGGAAGUCUGACCCAACAACGCCGCGUGGGUGAAGGAAGUUUUCCGAUCGUAAAACUCUGUUGGUAGGGAAGAACGGUGGUGAGAGUGGAAAGCUCAUCAAGUGACGGUAACUACCCAGAAAGCGACGGCUAACUACGUG